UAUUUUUGCACUGAAUUUGGUUUUGUCACUUUCACGGUGACUAAAUUAAAAGGGAAUCCAGUGAAAAUCUGGUACUGUUCCCGCAACUGUAAGUUUAUGCCAAACUUGAUUUGGCACCUCUAUAAAAGAGGGUGUUGUUUUCUUCAAAGUCACUGUCCGUAGAUGGAUGGGAAGGCGAAAUAACAUUGAACAAGUCAGGAGACCUGCCAACUUCAAACAAACAUU
RNAcentral lists this non-coding RNA (225 nucleotides) under Maribacter sp. HTCC2170. RNAcentral also lists the same sequence under 1 other name. Lineage: Bacteria; Pseudomonadati; Bacteroidota; Flavobacteriia; Flavobacteriales; Flavobacteriaceae. The record is from RNAcentral.